Elgaria multicarinata webbii is the source of this 133-nucleotide small nucleolar RNA. RefSeq annotates it as small nucleolar RNA SNORA33. The transcript has a single exon. Lineage: Eukaryota; Metazoa; Chordata; Lepidosauria; Squamata; Anguidae. The record is from RefSeq and is a predicted model, not a curated record.
CUGCCAGUACAAUAAAAUCUGCUUAACUUGUAAGUGUUCUGCAGAAAUGGAAAAAAAAUGCUGGCAAUAAUAAAGCCAGGGUACGAGCCUUGAAGACUUGGUAGUCAUUGAGGUCCCAUAAACGGCUACAUUG